Molecule: transfer RNA, 73 nt
Filed under: Streptococcus agalactiae
Lineage: Bacteria; Bacillati; Bacillota; Bacilli; Lactobacillales; Streptococcaceae
Description: tRNA-Lys
Rfam family: tRNA (bases 7-66)
About the family: Transfer RNA (tRNA) molecules are approximately 80 nucleotides in length.
Source: RNAcentral
GACUCGUUAGCUCAGUUGGUAGAGCAAUUGACUUUUAAUCAAUGGGUCGCGUGUUCAAGUCAUGUAGCCGGCA